Molecule: unclassified non-coding RNA, 530 nt
Filed under: Hevea brasiliensis (rubber tree)
Lineage: Eukaryota; Viridiplantae; Streptophyta; Magnoliopsida; Malpighiales; Euphorbiaceae
Source: RNAcentral
CCCGAAACCAAUUCAAAUAAGGAAAUAAAAUAAUUAACUUCCUCCAAUUCAGCAUUGUAUAUGAGGAUAUAAUCUACUCCUAAUCAACUCAUAUACAAGAAAAUCAACUACUACUUUAAGACUUGUAAAUCUUUUUAUAUAAAUGAAGGAUUGUUAAGUAACUUAAUCAAUCAAUUAAAAAUAUGUUGAAAACUCACAAAAUCAAAUAUUCAAAAUCCACAAAAUAAAUGAUGUUGAUGACGCUGAUGACAUCUUUUUUCCUCCGCUAUGACAGUUGAUGACGCUGAGGUAGAGGCUGCUAUUUUUGUAGUUGGAAGGGCUGUGGAAGCAGGCUUCACGCAUGUUCAUCUUGAAUAGGACUCUUUUAUCUUUAGUACGCCAUGUGCUGUCGAGGAAAGUCCCUCUCACUUACUAUGGAACCCACGUUUAGAUUCAGUGAAGUCAUGUGGUUAGAGAGUCCUAUAGUGUAGCCCAUGCUUUAGCUAAGCUUGCCUUUUCUUGUGAAGAAGUAGAGAUGAUUUGGAUGAAAG